AAAAUAGCAAAGAUUUGACUUCGAAUCAAAUAAAGAUUUUUUAAAUCCUAUUUUA
RNAcentral lists this transfer RNA (55 nucleotides) under Metacrangonyx sp. 1 MDMBR-2012. RNAcentral describes it as "transfer RNA Arginine". The record is from RNAcentral. Lineage: Eukaryota; Metazoa; Arthropoda; Malacostraca; Amphipoda; Metacrangonyctidae.